UGUAAGACUAGGAUAACUCCGGGAAACCGGGGCUAAUACUGGAUAACUUUUCUCUCCGCAUGGAGGGAGAUUGAAAGAUGGCUUCAGCUAUCACUUACAGAUGGACCCGCGGCGCAUUAGCUAGUUGGUGAGGUAACGGCUCACCCAGGCAACGAUGCGUAGCCGACCUGAGAGGGUGAUCGGCCACAUUGGGACUGAGACACGGCCCAAACUCCUACGGGAGACAGCAGUAGGGAAUCUUCCGCAAUGGACGAAAGUCUGACGGAGCAACGCCGCGUGAGUGAAGAAGGUCUUUGGAUCGUAAAACUCUGUUGUUAGGGAAGAACAAGUAUCGUUCGAAUAGGGCGGCACCUUGACGGUACCUAACCAGAAAGCCACGGCUAACUACGUGCCAGCAGCCGCGGUAAUACGUAGGUGGCAAGCGUUGUCCGGAAUUAUUGGGCGUAAAGCGCGCGCAGGCGGUCUUUUAAGUCUGAUGUGAAAGCCCACGGCUCAACCGUGGAGGGUCAUUGGAAACUGGAAGACUUGAGUGCAGAAGAGGAGAGUGGAAUUCCACGUGUAGCGGUGAAAUGCGUAGAGAUGUGGAGGAACACCAGUGGCGAAGGCGACUCUCUGGUCUGUAACUGACGCUGAGGCGCGAAAGCGUGGGGAGCAAACAGGAUUAGAUACCCUGGUAGUCCACGCCGUAAACGAUGAGUGCUAAGUGUUAGAGGGUUUCCGCCCUUUAGUGCUGCAGCUAACGCAUUAAGCACUCCGCCUGGGGAGUACGACCGCAAGGUUGAAACUCAAAGGAAUUGACGGGGGCCCGCACAAGCGGUGGAGCAUGUGGUUAAUUCGAAGCAACGCGAAGAAC
RNAcentral lists this ribosomal RNA (853 nucleotides) under uncultured Bacillus sp. RNAcentral's name for it is "bacterial SSU rRNA". It matches the Rfam family "Bacterial small subunit ribosomal RNA", at positions 131 to 969 of the family's 1533-position model. The record is from RNAcentral. Lineage: Bacteria; Bacillati; Bacillota; Bacilli; Caryophanales; Bacillaceae.